UCGAACGUAAGAUGACUGUAGGUGAAAGCUUACAUCUCUUCGGAGCAUUUUACGUAGGUGCUGCAUGGUUGUCGUCAGCUCGUGCCGUGAGGUGUCGGGUUAAGUCCCAUAACGAGCGCAACCCUACCUUUAGUUGCCAUCAGGUAAUGCUGGGGACUCUAAAGGAACUGCCUACGCAAGUAGUGAGGAAGGCGGGGAUGACGUCGAAAUCAGCACGGCCCUUACGUCCAGGGCUGCACACGUGCUACAAUGGCCGAUACAGAGGGCAGCUACCUGGUGACAGGAUGCAAAUCUCCAAAGUCGGUCUCAGUUCGGAUCGGAGUCUGCAACCCGACUCCGUGAAGUUGGAUUCGCUAGUAAUCGCGCAUCAGCCAUGGCGCGGUGAAUACGUUCCCGGGCCUU
RNAcentral lists this ribosomal RNA (402 nucleotides) under uncultured Sphingobacteriales bacterium. RNAcentral describes it as "bacterial SSU rRNA". It matches the Rfam family "Bacterial small subunit ribosomal RNA", at positions 981 to 1382 of the family's 1533-position model. The record is from RNAcentral. Lineage: Bacteria; Pseudomonadati; Bacteroidota; Sphingobacteriia; Sphingobacteriales.